This 557-nucleotide ribosomal RNA is filed under the name uncultured soil bacterium. Its description in RNAcentral is "bacterial SSU rRNA". It matches the Rfam family "Bacterial small subunit ribosomal RNA", at positions 35 to 603 of the family's 1533-position model. The record is from RNAcentral.
GCUGGCGGCGCGCAUCAUGCAUGUAAGUCGAACGAGGGCUUACUUCUCGCAAGAGAGGUGAGUUCCUAGUGGCGAACGGGUGAGUAACACGUGGGCAACCUUCCCUAUCGCGGGGGAUAACACCGGGAAACCGAUGCUAAUACCGCAUGUUGUCACCGGCUUAUGGCCGGUGAAGAAAGCAGCAAUGCACGAUAGGAUGGGCCCGCGGCCUAUCAGCUAGUCGGUGGGGUAACGGCUCACCGAGGCGAUGACGGGUAGCUGGUCUGAGAGGACGACCAGCCACACGGGGACUGCGACACGGCCCCGACUCCUACGGGAGGCAGCAGCAAGGAAUCUUCCGCAAUGGGCGAAAGCCUGACGGAGCGACGCCGCGUGUGGGAUGAAGUCUUUCGGGAUGUAAACCACUGUCGGAGGGGAAGAUAGUGACGGUACCCUCCAAGAAAGCCCCGGCUAACUACGUGCCAGCAGCCGCGGUAAUACGUAGGGGGCAAGCGUUAUCCAGAUUUACUGGGCGUAAAGCGCGUGUAGGCGGCUGGUCAAGUGUGACGUGAAAUCUU